UUAGUGUUCUGGAACUUAUGGGGCUAGGUCACAAAAAGCCUUGAGCCUUAAAGUUUCCACCCACACCUUUCGGAGACACUCCCUCUGGAAAGUCAGCUGCCAUGCUGUAACUCAAGCACAAUGGAGAGACAAUAUGUCAGUGCUCAAACCCAACAGCCACAGCAAAGUUCCCUGCCAAGAGCCAGCAUCAACAGUCGACCACCCCAGCCCAGACACAGGAGUAAAGAAGCCAUCCUAGAAGUGGAUCCUCCAGCCCCAGGCACUUCAACUGACAUCCUAUGGAUCAGAGACAAACCACACAGUGAACUGAACAAAAUAACCUAAACGAUGGAAGCCAUUGGUGAAACGAAUCCGGAUGGAGCUUAUCAAAUGUGAAUGGCCCAGAGUGUGGAAAACCAGUGCCCUCAGGGAAACCUGGAAGCAGAUGGGGCAGAUAAGUCAGCCCCAGAAGAUGGCAGAUGGAGUGAUGUUCUCUCUCCCUAGGCCAGUUUCCUCACAUUCAAGGCUCGACCUCCGCCCCCAAGCCCAAACAAAAUGAAAGAAAAGGUUCAAUGGCCCUGGUAUGAUGAAUCGCUUCUGGCAAAAUUUAAUUCUAAAGAAAUGGCAAAGAUAAUAACAUACUUUCACAGAAAAAGUCUGUCCUGAAGAAGGGCCUCUCCCCUUUGGACUCUCAAAACAAUUUUAGAACCAAGCAUUAGCUUUAAUCCAGCACUCUGGUAAGCACAAAGAAAAGAAAGGACAGCUGAACCAAAGAAUACAGUGAGAGUUAACACUAUGCCAGCAUCUGGGCCCAGGCCUUAAGAAACUGGCAGUUUUCACUUCCUGUCUCCUGAAACUCAACUACCAUACUGUGAGGAAACCCCAGCCACCUGCAGAAAGGCCUCUGUGGAGAGGAACCGACAAGCAGCACCAACUUGCCAGCAAUAUCCAGACUGGCACAAAAAGGAAUAAAAGGGCUCAACUACGAGGAGGCCUGAAAAAGGACAACUGCCCACAGCCCCAUCAAAGGGCUGAUUGAGAAUAAAAAGAAAUUGAAAGGGAAAA
Molecule: long non-coding RNA, 1044 nt
Organism: Felis catus (domestic cat)
Lineage: Eukaryota; Metazoa; Chordata; Mammalia; Carnivora; Felidae
Exons: 6
Source: RefSeq, a predicted model, not a curated record